AUUGAACGCUGGCGGCAUGCCUUACACAUGCAAGUCGAACGGUAACAGGUUAAGCUGACGAGUGGCGAACGGGUGAGUCAUACAUCGGAACGUGCCCAGUAGUGGGGGAUAGCCCGGCGAAAGCCGGAUUAAUACCGCAUACGACCUAAGGGUGAAAGGGGGUGAUCGCAAGCCCUCUCGCUAUUGGAGCGGCCGAUGUUAGAUUAGCUAGUUGGGGGGUUAAAAGAUCACUAAGGCGACGAGCUGUAGCUGGUCGGAGAGGACGACCAGCCACAGUGGGGCUGCGACGCCGAGACGACUCCUAGGGGACGCAGUGGGGAAUUUUGGACAAUGGGCGCAAGCCUGAUCCAGCCAUGCCGCGUGCGGGAAGAAGGCCUUCGGGUUGUAAACCGCUUUUGUCGGGGAAGAAAUCCUUUGGGUUAAUACCUCGGGGGGAUGACGGUACCUGAAGAAUAAGCACCGGCUAACUACGUG
RNAcentral lists this ribosomal RNA (474 nucleotides) under uncultured bacterium. RNAcentral describes it as "partial 16S ribosomal RNA". It matches the Rfam family "Bacterial small subunit ribosomal RNA", at positions 30 to 507 of the family's 1533-position model. The record is from RNAcentral.